GCUCUUUUCUACAACGAAGACAACGUGUCAACCAUGAGCACAAAACCAAAGAGCCACAAGGCUAUGAGCGAUAAGGAGUGGAUGGCAAGGCUGAGGGCGUUUGCCAGCUCUGGGGUUUGGCCUUCUGGAGGAGGCAACAGACCAGCCCCAAGGCAGAAGAAGUGGUUCGCCUUCUAUCAGAAGAUUGAGAAAUGCCCCAUGCAGGCCCGUGGACAGACCACGCUCUUUGGAGGGUCCAUGGCCACCAUGGCCUGUGAUUGUGGAUUCCACGGCGUUAUGGUGAUUUGUUUAAUAAUGAUGUCUCUUUAUUGUUCAUCUUGCAUUGCAUGUCUGUUACAAAGCUGUUAUGCUGUUGUUGUUACAAUAUUCUGCUGUUGUUCCACAGUCCGUGGCCUCAGCCUCAG
Pseudoliparis swirei is the source of this 404-nucleotide long non-coding RNA. RefSeq lists it as uncharacterized. Lineage: Eukaryota; Metazoa; Chordata; Actinopteri; Perciformes; Liparidae. The record is from RefSeq and is a predicted model, not a curated record. The transcript has 3 exons.